RNAcentral lists this ribosomal RNA (434 nucleotides) under uncultured bacterium. Its description in RNAcentral is "partial 16S ribosomal RNA". It matches the Rfam family "Bacterial small subunit ribosomal RNA", at positions 29 to 507 of the family's 1533-position model. The record is from RNAcentral.
AGCGAACGCUGGCGGCAGGCCUAACACAUGCAAGUCGAACGAACCUUUCGGGGUUAGUGGCGGACGGGUGAGUAACACGUGGGAACGUGCCUUUAGGUUCGGAAUAACUCAGGGAAACUUGUGCUAAUACCGAAUGUGCCCUUCGGGGGAAAGAUUAAUCGCCUUUAGAGCGGCCCGCGUCUGAUUAGCUAGUUGGUUGAGGUAAUGGCUCACCAAGGCGACGAUCAGUAGCUGGUCUGAGAGGAUGAUCAGCCACAUUGGGACUGAGACACGGCCCAAACUCCUACGGGAGGCAGCAGUGGGGAAUCUUGCGCAAUGGGCGAAAGCCUGACGCAGCCAUGCCGUGUGAAUGAUGAAGGUCUUAGGAUUGUAAAAUUCUUUCACCGGGGACGAUAAUGACGGUACCCGGAGAAGAAGCCCCGGCUAACUUCGUG